UCUCUUCCGUGACUUAGGAUGGGAUUUAAGAGCGAAGAUUAACGGUAGAACAUCCAUUCCCCCUGGAAACCUGGAAGCGUAGAGUUUACAGAGGUUACAGCUGGUUACAACAUCGACUCAAAAUGGAUACCCGAGUGUUGAUCUGUUUCCUUGUCGUGCUUUACCUGGCGACUGUCUCGGUCGCGGCUCCUGUGGACGAAUCUCGAAGUGUAGAGGGCAGAAAUAACGAGGUCAUGGUAAGAGCCAAACGUGGAUCCUGCAUUUGGAGAUGUGGCUACUGGGGUCACUUCUUGACCUGUCCAAGUGGGUUCUUCGUCCAGGGAGCGUGUGGCUCUGGGAAAAAUGCGGAUUGUUCUCAUACCCACUGCGGCAAAAAGACCUGGCACGCUAUCUUGUGUUGCCCGAAAUAAACUUGAAAGCCAGAAACGUGAAAAAAAAUAUCCGCAGUAUUCAGAUAAAUACACAAGAAUACUCUUGUCAACUGUGCAUAAUUUUGAAUUGAUUUGAUGCAUAAGAUUUGAUUUAUUAUCUUUGCUGUUUGGCCUGCUUUCACUUUGCAGUUGGAAAAAUAAAAAAUGACCUUCUAAA
RNAcentral lists this long non-coding RNA (588 nucleotides) under Lingula anatina. Its description in RNAcentral is "uncharacterized LOC106167091". The record is from RNAcentral. Lineage: Eukaryota; Metazoa; Brachiopoda; Lingulata; Lingulida; Lingulidae.